This 1648-nucleotide long non-coding RNA is filed under the name Volvox carteri. Its description in RNAcentral is "long non-coding RNA (VCAR_LNC001592)". Lineage: Eukaryota; Viridiplantae; Chlorophyta; Chlorophyceae; Chlamydomonadales; Volvocaceae. The record is from RNAcentral.
ACCGAGCAUUUUUCACGAACUCCUGCAGCUAUGUAUGUACAAGCCUGUUGAUAAUUUUCGCCAUAGAAACGAUACUUAUACUGUUCUGUUCCUAGAUAAUGCUGGCUUGCCUUGGGUGAUGGGGCGUAGCCGCGGAGCUUCAGCUGGGCGCGGUGGCACCUCGCGCCGUGCAGCGAAUCGUAUGUGAACACAAUUCAGAAAGCCGCCCCGAAUCGGACUCCCAAUCAGACUCUCAAUUGGACUACAUGUGAACACACCCUUAUCACUAUCGCCACCGCCGACAUCAUUAUUGCUGAUUUGUACUGCCUACCGUCAUGCGAAGUAAUAGCGCGUCAAUUUUUAGCAAUAGCGAUAAACAUCAGAAGCUACGGAGCUAACAACAUACCAAAAAAACGCACAAAGCUGGACACCCUACGCGCCCGAAAAGCAUUGUUAAAACUUUGGCACCGCAACGAGGCAGCUGCCUCCCAAAUCGCUCAGACUGAAAGCCCCUGCGUUACAGCGGCGGAUGCUGGCUCGGUAACAUCAUCCUGCCAAGAGCCACAUGCAACCAACUUCCAGCACACCAACGUGAUCGAGACCUAUCAAGGUCGAUAAUCCUUCCUAUGGUGGAAGGUAUUGCGCCCCUAGUUGAUGGACAGUGGUGACCUGGGAUAAAGUUAACCUGCGAGCCGACCAGGAAUGGAGUCAUGCCUAGCGAUACCGCCACUAGCACUAUGAAAUGUGCUUCAAUUAGAUGGGCUAACUAUAUGGUGCUAGUGUUCUAUAUUCUCCACUGCACUCUAUUCGAUGGGUCUCGCUGACGAGCCGAAGGCACAACGAUGGGACCCAUUUUGUUGAUCAGCGCGCGCUGAACAACAAAAACAUGAUAAGGUAACCAGCGUAAUGCGCGCUACAAAUGACGGCCCUGAGGAUGCGAUUGUUACAGUGGACCCCGAACGGGUCGACUGCAGCGCCCCCUAGGAACGCAUCCCGCACAACAUUGUAGGCAUUAUUCAAAAAGAACUCGGCCAGGCCGUACUAACUUCACUGGACACAAGGCCUCAGUUAGUAUAGCCCUCAAACCUCAUCAUUGGACAUCAGUAAGCGGCAAACAACCUUGCCUGCGUCGUUGAGAUAUAAGAAAGGGUGGUUGUGAGGCACGUGUCCCCAACGUUUUGGCAAGUUAUCCCGUGCCGCAAAAGCAGUUAAACGGGCCCAAAAGUCAGAGAUAACAUAACAUCGUCAGUAAUGCGGUUAAGCGUUGACGUAGAUACGGUCAUGUUGGCCUGGAGACCUUCCCUAAACAGCAAACGGCGACCGAGAUUGAGUGAGCUGAUGGCCGCGAGGCAUACAACCUCCCACACACACCCAAAAACUGAGGUCGGUGGAAUGCCCAGCCACAAGUUAACCCGGAUAGAUCAGGAAACUGAGGAAACAGCCCUGAGGACACGGGCCGUGCGAAACAGAUAGACAAACAUAUACUGGGCCUUACGCCCAAUUAACUCAGCUUACUUAACGCAGUGAAGACAUGGGUAAGGCCUGGCCGAAAUACUACAGUGGCCUCCAGUACUGUAAGGGGAAUGGGAAGCGUAAGCUGACUUUACUAACCGAGAUACUGGCGUUUGCACAGAGUAUCGAUAUCUCAUCUCAGGUAUCUUCAAUCUCA